GCUCGGUUUGUCGUCAUGCAGCUAAUCUGGAAGAUGAGCAGCACUGUGGCCAGCCCAAUGUCAACGGUUGUCUCUUCAAGCAGUGGGAAAAAAUCGACCAGCUUUACUCCUGAAUUGCAGAGUAUGAUGUUUUCCCUGGGAGAUGCUCGAAGGCCACUCCAUGAAACUGCAGUACUGGUGGAAGACAUUGUCCACACUCAGCUGAUAAAUUUGUUGCAGCAAGCAGCUGAAGUUUCUCAGAUGAGAGGAGCUCGAGUCAUCUCUGCUGAAGAUCUUCUGUUUUUAAUGCGCAAAGAUAAGAAGAAGCUUAGAAGGCUACUAAAAUACAUGUUUUUUCGAGACUACAAAUCUAAAAUUGUCAAAGGAAUAGAAGAAGAUGACCUCCUCGAAGACAAAUUCAACAGUAAUAACACCAACAAAAGGCAGAAGCUUGCUCAAGACUUUCUCAACUCCAUUGACCAGACUGGAGAGCUCUUAGCCAUUUUUGAAGAUGAUGAGAUUGAUGAUGUCAAGCAAGAGCGAAUGGAGAGAGCAGAAAGACAAACACGAGCCAUGGACUCAGUCCAGUACGCAGAAUUCUGUGAAAGUCGGCAAUUGAGUUUUUCAAAGAAAGCAUCCAAAUUUCGUGACUGGUUGGACUGUAGCAGUAUGGAAAUAAAGCCAAAUGCAGUUGCAAUGGAGAUUUUGGCAUAUUUAGCAUACGAGACUGUGGCCCAGCUGGUGGACUUGGCCCUUUUGGUUAAACAGGACAUGGCUCCCAAAGCUGGUGACCCAUUCAGUCAUGCCAUAUCUGCCACCUUCAUACAGUACCACAAUUCUACUGAGCCACAUCUCUUAGGGCAAUCUACCAGUGUGAAGACCAGUCUUGACUCCCCUGAAAACACACCACCUCCUACACCCACCCCCCCAGCAUCAGCAGGACAGCAACACCUUGGGAAAACCCCAUCAGGAGCCUUGGGGAAUGGUGGAAUUGGACAGGACUCUACCAAAUCCAAACAAAGAAAAAGAAAAAAGAGCACUGCAGCCUGUGGUAUAGAGGCUCAAAGUGAUGCCAUCCAGCCCAGCCACAUCAGAGAGGCCAUUCGACGCUACGGCCACAAGAUUGGCCCCCUUUCCCCAUUCACAAGUGCCUACCGCAGGAACGGGAUGACUUUUCUCGCCUGCUGAUGUGGAUGUGGCUGCAGCAACAGGAAAGACAGUGUUAUAUUAAGACUGAGGCUGAAGCACAUCUUGUCCCUUGAAACAGCCAUUGGUACCAAGCUGUCACAGUACUGCCUGCAGUCAGACAUAGCAAAACUAAAGUGUUAGAACUUCAUGUUACACACCACUCCACGUGGAAUUUCACAGAACAUGCUGUAGGCCAAGUUUUGAGUGCAGCUGGGCCAGUUCAUGGUUACAGAUGAGCACUGUGUGAAACGGAAUGAUUUGAACCUGAAACCAGGCAGAACACAUUGGCUUCAGCUGGAUGUGCUGGGAGUUAUGGAGUUUGUAGGAAACCAAAACUCAGAAGGGGAUAAGCCCUCACAAACCAAAGCAAAAGCAGGGAUUUGUACAAGUGCCUGCAGGCUGAACCUGCACAAUUGGGAAGGACUUGACAUCUGGCAAACAGACUGACCUUUGUGUCAAGGAUGAACAUGCACUGAAAGUCUGUAGGGAAACUCACAGAAUCCCGAACUUGCUAAAGUCUCCAACCUUUUGCCAAGCUGCAAGGUGCAAGGUGCAAAGCCCAGGUGAGAUUUUGAUGUCACCCACAAUGGAUGUGGGUUUUUUUCUGGGCUGCUUCUGCUUUUGUGGGGUCCAAGAAUGUUCUUCAUCAUAACCAUUAAAAACAAAAGGAAAAUCCUGACUUCUUCAGUCGUUCUCAGGCCUGUAUGUACCUCAUGUUGUCUUUACUUCAUCCAUCCAGAGUUCGAGAAGUGCUUGGAUAGCGCUGUCAGGCACACGGUGUGAUUCUUGGAGUUGUCCUAUGCAGGGCCAGGAGUUGGACUUCAGUGAUCCUUUUGGGUCCCUCCCAACUUAGGAUAUUCUAUGAUUCUAUGAUUCUAUCAUUGUUUUCUUUUCAUCCAUGUGGCUAAAGAGAAGCAUUUUUAUUAUUUGCAGUAUUUGUCAUUCCAGAUAACCCACAUCUCACUUCCAGUUCUCACUUUAUUCCUGUAUUGCUAGAUUACUAAUCUACAGCUGCUGGCACCCCAUUCUGCUCCUUUUAAGCAGUUUACUAACUCCUGAUAGUCAAGGCUGAUGACCUAAUUUUAGUCCUGUUAGUGCAAUUCAGUUUUCAGCCCUGACAUUGAAACUCAGUGGAGCAGAAUCCACUAAUGGGACUCCUGUAUUAGUUAGCAUAGCACUUCCUAAAAUGCUAAAAACACUGCUUAUAUUAAUUGUCCUGAAGACAGUGGAGGUAAGUGGGAUGAAGAAUAAGAAAUCAUAGUGAUAAACAACUUACAUGACCUUCUCAUAGAUGGCGUUUUGGCUGGAAAAAAGGAUUUCAUCCUUUUGCCGUGACCAAAAUUGUUGUACUCCAGAGAUAGCCUUUGAUAUUCCAGAUCAUGCAACACACUUCCACAUGAAGUUCAAUAUUUAGUUCAACCCUUUUAUGUAAAUCUCUGAGCUGAACAAAUUGCAAGUGAAGGAAGUAAAAGACUUCCAGGAAUCUGUUGUGAAAAGGCUGAUGAUUACAGCUGAGAUUCCUCCUAUAUGAGAAAACCAUCCCUUGGUUGAUGGUGUGGCUGCAUCUUGGAGCAUCAAGCACAGUGUUUAUGUAAAUCUGAGUGUUCUUCUGCUUGUUCUGCUGCAAAAGCCAUUCUCCCUGGGACACAGAAGGAAAUCCAGUGAGACAAGGUAAUAGAGAUGGAAGGCUGCUAAUGGAAAGAUUAGGUCACUGGGCUGUCAGACUUGUCUUUCUUAAGCACAUGUUUAUGCUUUAAGUUAAAUAAUACAGCAUGUUUAUGCAUGUGAAUAUAUAUAUAUACUGCAUAUGUAUCUGAAUAUAUGAAUGGUAAGAUGCUGUUCUGUGCAAGAAAGUCACAUCAGACUAGUUUCACAUUUUUAUGUAUUAUAUUACAUUUCAUUACAUUUAUAUUACAAUGUAAAAGGUUUCUGCCUUUCCCCAGAAAACACAGUCUUAACAUUCAUGUGCUCGUGUUCAACAAGCCUGUACACACACAGGAUCUUGGAGAGCAAGUUGGUUUGGAUGUUACCAGAAUUUUCUUGCCCCACAGAUGGUUCCUGUGUCUCCUAGCUCUGGAUAAAAUAUGUCCUUGUCAUUGCUUCAGUGCUGGAUUCAAACCCUGUUGAGGGAAUCAGUGGGUCGGGGUUCCCACUACUCCCGGUGUCCUUGUCCUUUUGUUCCAUAAAAAAGUAUUAUAUGUUCCUGUCACUGUACUUAAUAAACAAUUU
Neopelma chrysocephalum (saffron-crested tyrant-manakin) is the source of this 3396-nucleotide RNA transcript. It is a transcript of the gene named SPT3 homolog, SAGA and STAGA complex component, with no coding region annotated. Lineage: Eukaryota; Metazoa; Chordata; Aves; Passeriformes; Pipridae. The transcript has 15 exons. The record is from RefSeq and is a predicted model, not a curated record.